Molecule: long non-coding RNA, 192 nt
Organism: Penaeus monodon (black tiger shrimp)
Lineage: Eukaryota; Metazoa; Arthropoda; Malacostraca; Decapoda; Penaeidae
Exons: 3
Source: RefSeq, a predicted model, not a curated record
CAUGAGUGUCAGAGAGGCUGUCCAGACAUUUCAAACUGAUGGGUGAUGUUGGUGAGGAUGACUUGGAAGUUAUACGCACAAUUCUGGUGGAAGUACAGCUUGCACAGUUUUUCACCAGGAUACGUGAUGACCUGCAGGUUACAAGGCUAAGCCACUUUGAGUAUGUUCAUGCUGAAGACUUGGAGCGUAUUG